This 465-nucleotide ribosomal RNA is filed under the name Vreelandella stevensii. RNAcentral's name for it is "partial 16S ribosomal RNA". It matches the Rfam family "Bacterial small subunit ribosomal RNA", at positions 338 to 795 of the family's 1533-position model. The record is from RNAcentral. Lineage: Bacteria; Pseudomonadati; Pseudomonadota; Gammaproteobacteria; Oceanospirillales; Halomonadaceae.
CCUACGGGAGGCUGCAGUGGGGAAUAUUGGACAAUGGGGGGAACCCUGAUCCAGCCAUGCCGCGUGUGUGAAGAAGGCCCUCGGGUUGUAAAGCACUUUCAGUGAGGAAGAACGCCUGGUGGUUAUUACCCAUCAGGAAAGACAUCACUCACAGAAGAAGCACCGGCUAACUCCGUGCCAGCAGCCGCGGUAAUACGGAGGGUGCGAGCGUUAAUCGGAAUUACUGGGCGUAAAGCGCGCGUAGGUGGCUUGAUAAGCCGGUUGUGAAAGCCCCGGGCUCAACCUGGGAACGGCAUCCGGAACUGUCAAGCUAGAGUGCAGGAGAGGAAGGUAGAAUUCCCGGUGUAGCGGUGAAAUGCGUAGAGAUCGGGAGGAAUACCAGUGGCGAAGGCGGCCUUCUGGACUGACACUGACACUGAGGUGCGAAAGCGUGGGUAGCAAACAGGAUUAGAUACCCGUGUAGUC